UCAGUCCCGCCGAGGUAGCUCGAAAGAGGCCUCGUAUCGAGUCUUGCGCUUGUUAGGCAACGAAACAGGUGAAGUGUAGACAGAGAGUCUGUAGGCCAUUAGGCGGGAUAAUGCCUUUAAGCGAUAGAGCCUCGAGAAAUAAUGGUGAUGAGAGGAGGCCCAGCCAGUAUGGGGAAGUGAAGGCAACAGAGAUCGGGAGCAAUAACGAUCUCCUCCUCCGGGGUCCAAGAGCA
This is a non-coding RNA of Bdellovibrionales bacterium, 233 nucleotides long. The record is from Rfam. Lineage: Bacteria; Pseudomonadati; Bdellovibrionota; Bdellovibrionia; Bdellovibrionales.